GGUAAAGUGGCCGAGUAGGUGGCAGGUUGUAGCCCUGAGAACAGAGGUUUAAGUCCUUUCUUUACCA
Molecule: transfer RNA, 67 nt
Filed under: Limnonectes blythii (giant mountain frog)
Lineage: Eukaryota; Metazoa; Chordata; Amphibia; Anura; Dicroglossidae
Description: tRNA-Tyr
Rfam family: tRNA
About the family: Transfer RNA (tRNA) molecules are approximately 80 nucleotides in length. Their secondary structure includes four short double-helical elements and three loops (D, anti-codon, and T loops).
Source: RNAcentral